Pelobates cultripes (western spadefoot toad) is the source of this 722-nucleotide non-coding RNA. Lineage: Eukaryota; Metazoa; Chordata; Amphibia; Anura; Pelobatidae. The record is from the annotation of a GenBank genome assembly.
GUUGUUUUUUGGUUUUCUUCCCCAUGAUACAGGGAGUCAGUGCUCCGUCUUUAGUGAGCCGGUAUUUAUCGUCUCUUUUUUUAUAGAUCUAAAAAAUGUUUUAUCCCCCUGUUUUACUGACUGUUCUAUUUUCUCUAUGCCGAUUUCUUCUCUUGGAAUUGAUGUUUUUUUAAGGUGCCUUUAAUAGGCAAUGUUUUGAAUUUUGCUUAAGAUUGAUAAUACCCAGGUGUCGGAGGUAUUUUUGGCCCAGACAGAAUGAAAAUGUAGGAGUCUUCUUAUGAAAUCUGAUUGGGCCUGCAGAUCUUUAGAAUUUUUCUUUUCUUUUUAGGUUCGGGAUCCUCUUCCUCAAAUCAAUUUCGUGUUGAAACUUCUCCAAGAAGAAUUUCUAGACUUAUUCCUUUCCUGGCUGAUAUGUUCUGAUCUUCCAAAAGGACCAUUCACAAAACAUUUUUCUCUCCAUGUGGAUGGAUUUAAAGACCUUUUUUUCUUGCAGUAAGAUUUUCCUAUUCUCAACUGCUUUCUGGCAAUCUUCGUUUUUAUUGAAGCACAGUAUGUAUACAGACAGAGAAUAAACAAUUGUAAAGCUUACAGGCGUCAUGCUUGUUGUCGCACAUACAGCAAUGCUCCCUCCCUAUUUCCCGCCUGUAUUUCCCUACCCAGCCUCUGUGAGUAACUUGAACAACCGAGCGCAACUGCGCAAACUGAACUUUAGAACGUGUUCC